AAUGAGCAAAGGAUUCUUAGUUAUGUGCAUCAGAGAGAUUCCCAUCUAGACAUUAGUCAUCAUUAUAGAACUUCUGAUGUCCCUGUCUAUUCAUCGUCACUUGCACUAGUCAAAAGACAC
Molecule: small RNA, 120 nt
Filed under: Arabidopsis thaliana (thale cress)
Lineage: Eukaryota; Viridiplantae; Streptophyta; Magnoliopsida; Brassicales; Brassicaceae
Description: ATSL012790
Source: RNAcentral